GGUAGAGUUGCUGCCUUACAGUGCCAGAGUCCCGGCUUGCGAUCCUCACCACGGGUGCUUGUCUGUGUGGA
Amblyraja radiata (thorny skate) is the source of this 71-nucleotide long non-coding RNA. RefSeq lists it as uncharacterized. Lineage: Eukaryota; Metazoa; Chordata; Chondrichthyes; Rajiformes; Rajidae. The record is from RefSeq and is a predicted model, not a curated record. The transcript is spliced from 3 exons.